GAACCGUCCUCGUGGGCUGAGCGGGCAGUCACAGUGGGUGGCAUGGAGAGUGUGCAGGAGGCCACUCGGAGGCCUGUGGCCGGCCCCAAACCUGUGUUUCCUCCUGGGGGAGGAAGCAGAUGAGAAGGAAGGACCAUCAAUCUUCUCGCCCACCUAAGGUAUCUGACCGGGACAGGAGGGCAUCAGAGAUCCGCCCGUGCUGAGUAGGAAGCAAAGCUGCAGGACGCCCAGCCACUAUCAGCGCUGUCCAAUAGAAUUGCAUGCGAUGAUGGAAAUGGUCCAUAUUUGCACCAACCAACGCGGACACAGGGCAGCACUCAGCAGGUUCAGGGAAACGGGUCCAGUUUAGUCAGCGG
Molecule: long non-coding RNA, 356 nt
Filed under: Equus caballus (horse)
Lineage: Eukaryota; Metazoa; Chordata; Mammalia; Perissodactyla; Equidae
Description: lncRNA (ENSECAG00000060154.1)
Source: RNAcentral